This 253-nucleotide ribosomal RNA is filed under the name uncultured bacterium. Its description in RNAcentral is "partial 16S ribosomal RNA". It matches the Rfam family "Bacterial small subunit ribosomal RNA", at positions 524 to 776 of the family's 1533-position model. The record is from RNAcentral.
UACGUAGGGGGCUAGCGUUGUCCGGAAUCAUUGGGCGUAAAGAGCGUGUAGGCGGUCCGGUAAGUCCGCUGUGAAAGUCGGGGGCUCAACCCUCGAAUGCCGGUGGAUACUGUCGGGCUAGAGUGCGGAAGAGGCGAGUGGAAUUCCCGGUGUAGAGGUGAAAUUCGUAGAUAUCGGGAGGAACACCAGUGGCGAAGGCGGCGAUCUGGGUCGAUACUGACGCUGAGGUGCGAAAGCGUGGGGAGCAAACAGG